AAAAUUAGGGGAUGAGCUGUGGAUAGGGGUGAAAGGCUAAACAAACUUGGAAAUAGCUGGUUCUCUCCGAAAACUAUUUAGGUAGUGCCUCAAGUAUCACCAUCGGGGGUAGAGCACUGUUAUGGCUAGGGGGUCAUCGCGACUUACCAACCCAUUGCAAACUCCGAAUACCGAUGAGUGCGAGCUUGGGAGACAGACGCCGGGUGCUAACGUCCGACGUCAAGAGGGAAACAACCCAGACCGCCAGCUAAGGUCCCAAAGAUUGGCUAAGUGGAAAACGAAGUGGGAAGGCUAAAACAGUCAGGAGGUUGGCUUAGAAGCAGCCAUCCUUUAAAGAAAGCGUAAUAGCUCACUGAUCGAGUCGUCCUGCGCGGAAGAUGUAACGGGGCUAAGCCAGUCACCGAAGCUGCGGAUAUCCGUAAGGAUAUGGUAGGAGAGCGUUCUGUAAGCCUGUGAAGGUGUCUUGUAAAGGAUGCUGGAGGUAUCAGAAGUGCGAAUGCUGACAUGAGUAGCGAUAAUGCGGGUGAAAAGCCCGCACGCCGUAAGCCCAAGGUUUCCUGUUCAACGUUCAUCGGAGCAGGGUGAGUCGGCCCCUAAGGCGAGGCAGAGAUGCGUAGCUGAUGGGAAGCAGGUUAAUAUUCCUGCACCGUCGUUAGAUGCGAUGGGGGGACGGAUCGCGGAAGGUUGUCCGACUGUUGGAAUAGUCGGUUUUUGCAUCGAAGAAGGCUGUUAGGCAAAUCCGGCAGCGUAAUUCAAGGGUGUGAGACGAGCGAACUUGUUCGCGAAGCAAUCGGAAGUGGUUCCAAGAAAAGCCUCUAAGCUUCAGUCUAACGAGACCGUACCGCAAACCGACACAGGUGGGCGAGAUGAGUAUUCUAAGGCGCUUGAGAGAACUCGGGAGAAGGAACUCGGCAAAUUGGUACCGUAACUUCGGGAUAAGGUACGCCCAAGUAGUUUGACUGGCCUGCGCCAGGAGGACAAAAGGGUUGCAAUAAAAUGGUGGCUGCGACUGUUUAAUAAAAACACAGCACUCUGCAAACACGAAAGUGGACGUAUAGGGUGUGACGCCUGCCCGGUGCUGGAAGAUUAAAUGAUGGGGUGCAAGCUCUUGAUUGAAGUCCCAGUAAACGGCGGCCGUAACUAUAACGGUCCUAAGGUAGCGAAAUUCCUUGUCGGGUAAGUUCCGACCUGCACGAAUGGCGUAACGAUGGCCACACUGUCUCCUCC
RNAcentral lists this ribosomal RNA (1227 nucleotides) under soil metagenome. Its description in RNAcentral is "bacterial LSU rRNA". It matches the Rfam family "Bacterial large subunit ribosomal RNA", at positions 793 to 2026 of the family's 2925-position model. The record is from RNAcentral.